CUCACUAUACCAUCAAUAUGAGAGUCACCCAGCUUAUUGGACGACAACUGGCUCAGAUAGGAGACGAAUUGGACUACAAAUGGCGUGAACAACUGCCUGUCCAAUUGCAGCCAUUGAAUUUUGGGAUUUAUCUUUACAUCCUAACCAGGAGAGCGUUCUCUGGGAUCCUCGGAAACAUAUGGGGGUCUAAAAUUAUGCCAAUGUUGAGGACAUCCUGGUUGAUUCCACAGCUUCAGAAUGGCUGUCAGGAGGCUAAGAAGUGGGCAGCCUGGGUGUCCAAUGUUUCUGACUGGUCUCGCCGAACCACAUACAUACUGGCGUCUGCUUUACUACUGGUCACUGUGUCUAUCUUCCUUAUAACUUAGAAUGGAUAUGAAGGCUGAAUGUGAC
This is a long non-coding RNA of Ctenopharyngodon idella (grass carp), 390 nucleotides long. RefSeq lists it as uncharacterized. The record is from RefSeq and is a predicted model, not a curated record. The transcript has 4 exons. Lineage: Eukaryota; Metazoa; Chordata; Actinopteri; Cypriniformes; Xenocyprididae.